Molecule: ribosomal RNA, 468 nt
Filed under: uncultured bacterium
Lineage: Bacteria
Description: partial 16S ribosomal RNA
Rfam family: Bacterial small subunit ribosomal RNA
Source: RNAcentral
GACGAACGCUGGCGGCGUGCUUAACACAUGCAAGUCGAACGGAAAGGCCCUGCUUUUGUGGGGUGCUCGAGUGGCGAACGGGUGAGUAACACUUGAGUAACCUGCCCUUGACUUUGGGAUAACUUCAGGAAACUGGGGCUAAUACCGGAUAGGAGCUCCUGCUGCAUGGUGGGGGUUGGAAAGUUUCGGCGGUUGGGGGUGGACUCGCGGCUUAUCCGCUUGGUGGUGGGGUAGUGGCUUACCAAGGCUUUGACGGGUAGCCGGCCUGAGAGGGUGACCGGCCACAUUGGGACUGAGAUGCGGCCCAGACUCCUACGGGAGGCAGCGGUGGGGAAUAGUGCACAAUGGGCGGAAGCCUGAUGCAGCAACGCCGCGUGCGGGAUGACGGCCUUCGGGUUGUAAACCGCUUUCGCCUGUGACGAAGCGUGAGUGACGGUAAUGGGUAAAGAAGCACCGGCUAACUACGUG